Molecule: long non-coding RNA, 202 nt
Organism: Lathyrus oleraceus (garden pea)
Lineage: Eukaryota; Viridiplantae; Streptophyta; Magnoliopsida; Fabales; Fabaceae
Exons: 3
Source: RefSeq, a predicted model, not a curated record
CAGCUUCGAGCAAUUUUGUAUCAAUUUGACAAAUGAGAAGUUACAGCAGCAUUUCAACCAGCAUGUCUUCAAAAUGGAGCAAGAGGAAUAUACAAAGGAAGAAAUUGAUUGGAGUUAUAUAGAGUUCGUUGAUAAUCAAGAUGUUCUCGAUCUUAUUGAGAAGAAACCUGGCGGCGUUAUUGCUCUUCUGGACGAGGCCUGG